GAUGAACGCUGGCGGCGUACCUAAUACAUGCAAGUCGAGCGAACAGACGAGGAGCUUGCUCCUUUGACGUUAGCGGCGGACGGGUGAGUAACACGUGGAUAACCUACCUAUAAGACUGGGAUAACUUCGGGAAACCGGAGCUAAUACCGGAUAACAUGUUGAACCGCAUGGUUCAACAGUGAAAGACGGUCUUGCUGUCACUUAUAGAUGGAUCCGCGCCGCAUUAGCUAGUUGGUAAGGUAACGGCUUACCAAGGCAACGAUGCGUAGCCGACCUGAGAGGGUGAUCGGCCACACUGGAACUGAGACACGGUCCAGACUCCUACGGGAGGCAGCAGUAGGGAAUCUUCCGCAAUGGGCGAAAGCCUGACGGAGCAACGCCGCGUGAGUGAAGAAGGUCUUCGGAUCGUAAAACUCUGUUAUUAGGGAAGAACAAAUGUGUAAGUAACUAUGCACGUCUUGACGGUACCUAAUCAGAAAGCCACGGCUAACUACGUG
Molecule: ribosomal RNA, 497 nt
Filed under: uncultured bacterium
Lineage: Bacteria
Description: partial 16S ribosomal RNA
Rfam family: Bacterial small subunit ribosomal RNA
Source: RNAcentral